Molecule: ribosomal RNA, 301 nt
Filed under: uncultured bacterium
Lineage: Bacteria
Description: partial 16S ribosomal RNA
Rfam family: Bacterial small subunit ribosomal RNA
Source: RNAcentral
CAGCAGCCGCGGGAAAACAGAGGGUGCGAGCGUUAAUCGGAUUUACUGGGCGUAAAGCGUGCGUAGGCGGCUUCUUAAGUCGGAUGUGAAAUCCCUGAGCUUAACUUAGGAAUUGCAUUCGAUACUGGGAAGCUAAAGUAUGGGAGAGGAUGGUAGAAUUCCAGGUGUAGCGGUGAAAUGCGUAGAGAUCUGGAGGAAUACCGAUGGCGAAGGCAGCCAUCUGGCCUAAUACUGACGCUGAGGUACGAAAGCAUGGGGAGCAAACAGGAUUAGAUACCCCAGUAGUCCCUGUCUCUUAUAC